CGGAUAAUUCUUCGGAGGUUGAAUCUCAAAUUCCUGCUCAUCAUCAUCUUCAUCUAAAUCUAUCAUAUCUCCAAGAUAAAAUUUCAUCCUUGCAGGAAUCUGUUUAAUAAUUGAAGGCACUAUAGUCAUUUGAUUAUAAAUUUCUCUUUUUUGCUCAUUAUGACUAACUCUUGCUUCCUCUUCUUCCUCCCCUUCACUACUGUUGCUUAUCUCAAUGACCUCUCUUUCCUCCUUUUCGUCACUGCUUCCAAUCUCUACAACUUCCCUUUCAGCCCUUCUUUUAUUCCUUGUCACCAUAGCUUUGCAUUCUUCUUUUU
This 317-nucleotide long non-coding RNA is filed under the name Vigna radiata. RNAcentral describes it as "long non-coding RNA (VRAD_LNC016497)". Lineage: Eukaryota; Viridiplantae; Streptophyta; Magnoliopsida; Fabales; Fabaceae. The record is from RNAcentral.